AAGGUGGAUUUGUAAGUAAUUAUAUUGUAGAAAUAUUAAAUGAAAGGUGGAAUAACAUGUGUACAUAUUGCCCGUCGCUCUCGUGUUUUGUUGAGAUAAGUCGUAACAUAGUUGAUAUACUGGAAGGUGUAUCUUUUUGU
Molecule: ribosomal RNA, 140 nt
Filed under: Rhysodesmus texicolens
Lineage: Eukaryota; Metazoa; Arthropoda; Diplopoda; Polydesmida; Xystodesmidae
Description: partial small subunit ribosomal RNA
Source: RNAcentral